This is a long non-coding RNA of Xiphophorus couchianus (Monterrey platyfish), 1372 nucleotides long. RefSeq lists it as uncharacterized. The record is from RefSeq and is a predicted model, not a curated record. NCBI's taxonomy places the organism in Eukaryota, Metazoa, Chordata, Actinopteri, Cyprinodontiformes, Poeciliidae. The transcript is spliced from 3 exons.
CACACACAAACAAACACACAUCUGCAAUGUUCAUCUAAAACAGCUUUUACUUCAGCUGCAUCAGGUGAUCUUUCAUUGAUGAGUAAAGGUUUAUUGCAGCCAGUGGCGCAAACGAUAUAAAGAAGUGUAACAACCUGAUAAACUCAGUGUGACUGAGUUUGAAUCCACCGAGAUUCUUUUUGAUGGAUUUUAUUAACAGACAUUAACAAACAUUUUCUGCCACCUUUAUUUAGAAGAUUUUUCCAUUUUAAGCUCCCAGAUGAAAAAUCUAAUGGUUUUUAUGAAAUAUUUUAAACUAAGCAAUAAAAUGUCAACAAAGAAGCAGGAGUCAGGUUAUUCAUCAAAUUUAUAAAUUUAUCUAUUCAAAAUACAAAACUCCACAGAGUGCAGCUCCAAAAGUUACUUUACAAACAAUAAAUAUAGAAAAUCCUUCAUUUGAACCCAGAGACGCCAUUAAUGGCAUCAUGAACCUAUACAGGAACAGGAAGUGCUGGGUUGGCCCCGCCCACAAACCUGUCCUGAAUGCAGGAUAUGAAUAAAGGAGCAACGGAAGAUGUUCUGUUUCUGGUUUGAUGGAGGUCGGUGAACCCGGCUGCAGGUCGUUGUGGAGAAGUUUGAAUCUGGGUUCGGUUCUACAGAUCUCUGAUCAGUUUCCCUGGACUCUGCUGCCGUCCAUCUGCUCAGACGGAGACUCGCUAGAGACAGCCAACCCUCGAUGCUAUCGGCACCAGAACCCCGGUGAGUUCACCCGACAGUCACUGAAGACUGCAGGGAGACUCUGAAGUGCAGCGGCGCCAUCCGCCAUGCAUCCAUUAGGAUCACACUUCGUUGGGAAAACUGAGGCGUUGUUUCUUUUCACACAUCCACUGAGUGCCAUGAAGUGUCAGUGUCACUGCGGUCGGUCCUGGAGGCUCCUCUCAGCACAAUUCUAAUUCUGUUCCCUUCUGUCUGCGCUGCUGACCUUUGACUCGUCUGAAUAAAGUUUAUCAAGGUGAUCGUUGUGUUUGCUCAACUUAAUACUUUAAAGUUUCCUUUUGUUCCAAAUCCUUGUUUUUCUCAGACUUAAAGAGAAAAGACAAAACAUGACGAAUCGCAGUGGAUCCACAUCAGUAUUUAUGGAUUCAUCUAUUUUGAACAUGACUUAGAAUUAUUUGUGGAAAAUUCACAGAUUUCAUUUCAUAGAGCAUAUAUUCAUUACAGCAGGGGGCACACUUCAGCUAGUGUGCUAAUAGCGGAGCUAAAUUUUGUUUAGCACUUUAGCAUUUUUGCUAACUUUGAAAAAAUGUAGCGUAUUUAGCUUCCCCUAAUUCCAGAUAAAUUCUAAAGCACUAAUUUUCUUGGCUGUUUUAUGAACUUUCAGGUGAAUGAAAUU